RNAcentral lists this ribosomal RNA (468 nucleotides) under uncultured bacterium. RNAcentral's name for it is "partial 16S ribosomal RNA". It matches the Rfam family "Bacterial small subunit ribosomal RNA", at positions 28 to 507 of the family's 1533-position model. The record is from RNAcentral.
GACGAACGCUGGCGGCGUGCUUAACACAUGCAAGUCGAACGGAAAGGCCCUGCUUUUGUGGGGUGCUCGAGUGGCGAACGGGUGAGUAACACGUGAGUAACCUGCCCUUGACUUUGGGAUAACUUCAGGAAACUGGGGCUAAUACCGGAUAGGAGCUCCUGCUGCAUGGUGGGGGUUGGAAAGUUUCGGCGGUUGGGGAUGGACUCGCGGCUUAUCAGCUUGUUGGUGGGGUAGUGGCUUACCAAGGCUUUGACGGAUAGCCGGCCUGAGAGGGUGACCGGGCACAAGACGACUAAGGUACGGCGCAGUCUCCUACGGGAGGCAACGGGCGAGAGUAUUACACAGUGGGCGGGAGCCUGAUACAGCGGCGCCGCGUGCGGAAUGACGGCCUUCGGGUUAUGAACCGCUGUCGCCUGUGACGAAGCGUGAGUGACGGUAAUGAGUAAAGAAGCACCGGCUAACUACGUG